Molecule: ribosomal RNA, 240 nt
Filed under: uncultured bacterium
Lineage: Bacteria
Description: partial small subunit ribosomal RNA
Rfam family: Bacterial small subunit ribosomal RNA
Source: RNAcentral
AGAAUCAACGCUGGCGGCGUGCCUAACACAUGCAAGUCGAUCGAGAAAGUGGAGCAAUCCAUGAGUAAAGAGGCGCACGGGUGAGUAACACGUGACUAACCUACCUUCGAGUGGGGAAUAACCUGGGGAAACCCGGCUAAUACCGCAUAAUACCUACGGGUCAAAGGAGCAAUUCGCUUGAAGAGGGGUCGCGGCAGAUUAGUUAGUUGGCGGGUAAUGGCCCACAAGCGAUGAUCUGUA